RNAcentral lists this ribosomal RNA (253 nucleotides) under uncultured bacterium. RNAcentral describes it as "partial 16S ribosomal RNA". It matches the Rfam family "Bacterial small subunit ribosomal RNA", at positions 524 to 776 of the family's 1533-position model. The record is from RNAcentral.
UACGUAGGGGGCUAGCGUUGUCCGGAUUUAUUGGGCGUAAAGAGCGUGUAGGCGGCCAGGUAGGUCUGCUGUGAAAACUCGAGGCUCAACCUCGAGACGUCGGCGGAAACCAUCUGGCUAGAGUCCGGAAGAGGAGAGUGGAAUUCCUGGUGUAGCGGUGAAAUGCGUAGAUAUCGGGAGGAACACCAGUGGCGAAGGCGGCUUCCUGGCCUGUUCUUGACGCUGAGGCGCGAAAGCUAGGGUAGCAAACGGG